RNAcentral lists this ribosomal RNA (465 nucleotides) under Vreelandella stevensii. RNAcentral's name for it is "partial 16S ribosomal RNA". It matches the Rfam family "Bacterial small subunit ribosomal RNA", at positions 338 to 795 of the family's 1533-position model. Lineage: Bacteria; Pseudomonadati; Pseudomonadota; Gammaproteobacteria; Oceanospirillales; Halomonadaceae. The record is from RNAcentral.
CCUACGGGUGGCUGCAGUGGGGAAUAUUGGACAAUGGGGGCAACCCUGAUCCAGCCAUGCCGCGUGUGUGAAGAAGGCCCUCGGGUUGUAAAGCACUUUCAGUGAGGAAGAACGCCUGGUGGUUAAUACCCAUCAGGAAAGACAUCACUCACAGAAGAAGCACCGGCUAACUCCGUGCCAGCAGCCGCGGUAAUACGGAGGGUGCGAGCGUUAAUCGGAAUUACUGGGCGUAAAGCGCGCGUAGGUGGCUUGAUAAGCCGGUUGUGAAAGCCCCGGGCUCAACCUGGGAACGGCAUCCGGAACUGUCAAGCUAGAGUGCAGGAGAGGAAGGUAGAAUUCCCGGUGUAGCGGUGAAAUGCGUAGAGAUCGGGAGGAAUACCAGUGGCGAAGGCGGCCUACUGGACUAACACUGACACUGAGGUGCGAAAGCGUGGGUAGCAAACAGGAUUAGAUACCCUAGUAGUC